This 874-nucleotide ribosomal RNA is filed under the name Filenchus discrepans. Its description in RNAcentral is "SSU rRNA". It matches the Rfam family "Eukaryotic small subunit ribosomal RNA", at positions 58 to 945 of the family's 1831-position model. Lineage: Eukaryota; Metazoa; Nematoda; Chromadorea; Rhabditida; Tylenchidae. The record is from RNAcentral.
UCUAAGUAUAAGCGACUCAGCUCGUGAAACCGCGAACGGCUCAUUAUAACAGCUAUAAUUUACUUGAUCUUGACCAUCCUACUUGGAUAACUGUGGUAAUUCUAGAGCUAAUACAUGCGCAAGAGCUCGUCGCAAGACGAGUGCAUUUAUUAGAGGAAAACCAAGCGGCCUCGGCCGUGCUUUGUUGACUCAGAAUAACUAAGCUGAUCGCAGGGUCUUGUACCGGCGACGUGUCUUUCAAGUAUCUGCCUUAUCAACUUUCGAUGGUAGUGUAUCUGACUACCAUGGUGGUGACGGGUAACGGAGGAUCAGGGUUCGACUCCGGAGAAGGGGCCUGAGAAAUGGCCACUACGUCUAAGGAUGGCAGCAGGCGCGCAAAUUACCCACUCUCGGCUUGAGGAGGUAGUGACGAGAAAUAACGAGACCGUUCUCUACGAGGCCGGUCAUCGGAAUGGGUACAAUGUAAACCCUUUAACGAGUAUCUAUGAGAGGGCAAGUCUGGUGCCAGCAGCCGCGGUAAUUCCAGCUCUCAAAAUGCAUAGAAUUAUUGCUGCGGUUAAAAAGCUCGUAGUUGGAUCUGUGCCCCGCGGGCGGUUCUCCCCCACCGGGGAGCUACUGCUCCGCGGGGCUUUUGGCUGGUCUCAUUCGACUUCCCUUGGGGGGUGGGGUUGGGCUAGCGAGUUUACUUUGAACAAAUCAGAGUGCUCCACACAGGCGUCUCGCCUGAAUGUUCGUGCAUGGAAUAAUAGAAGAGGAUUUCGGUUCUAUUUUAUUGGUUUUAUAGACUGAGGUAAUGGAUAAUAGAGACAAACGAGGGCAUUCGUACCGCUGCGUGAGAGGUGAAAUUCUUGGACCGCAGCGAGACGCACGACAG